GCAGACUGGAUCGCGUAUGUGGAACAUCCAGCACUCUGCCACAGCACUCACGUCGGAGGCAAAGAGAAAGAAGGCGGUCCGAGAGACGCCUCCUUACCCAGGACACCAAGGCUCUACAAAGUCUGAAGUGAAGAGAUUACUGCCCCAUUUUCCAGAUGAGCACACUGAGGCUCUGCAAGGGUAGACUCUUGCCCAAGGUCCAGGAAGGUCACCCCAGCUAAGCCUCUAUAUUUUCCUCACUGGUUGCUGGUUUGCACUGGGGUCCUUGAAGGUCUGACUGGCAGAGGUCUGUCUUGGGAGGCAGGUGUACCUGGAGGGCAGCAGAAACAGAGAAGCCCACGAGGCCGGCGCUAAGGUGGGCCUUGCUCAGCACAGCACACAUGGCGGCUGCCAACACCAGCACGUUCCCCAGGAGCUCCAGGUUGGUAGCCAGCCACCUGCAAGGAGACGCAGCUAAUUUCAGUUGGUCUCCAGCUCUGGCAACUGAAAGAGUCAAGCCUAAUACAACACUUGGAGACCUUGCAAUGCCUCCUUGGUUUCUAGAUAGUUGGACAACGGGAAGCUGAUUUCAGCAGCAGCAGGACAAAAUGGGUUCUUCCACUGUGCAGAGCCUCUUACGCUGAAUCCUGUCCAGAGACAAGAGACUGGCUGAGGUGACCCGAGCUGGCCCCAGGGGCCUCCCCAGUCUCUCCGUACCUGAAAC
Molecule: long non-coding RNA, 703 nt
Organism: Herpailurus yagouaroundi (jaguarundi)
Lineage: Eukaryota; Metazoa; Chordata; Mammalia; Carnivora; Felidae
Exons: 4
Source: RefSeq, a predicted model, not a curated record